Molecule: ribosomal RNA, 253 nt
Filed under: uncultured bacterium
Lineage: Bacteria
Description: partial 16S ribosomal RNA
Rfam family: Bacterial small subunit ribosomal RNA
Source: RNAcentral
UACGAGUGGCCCAAGCGUUAGACGGAAUCACUGGGCUUAAAGCGUCCGUAGGUGGGCGCGCAGGCGUCUUGUGAAAGCCCCCGGCUCAACCGGGGAACUGCAGGGCGAACCGCGUGCCUUGAGGCAGGUAGGGGCGAGCAGAACUGUGGGUGGAGCGGUGAAAUGCAUUGAGAUCCACAGGAAUGCCGAUGGCGAAGGCAGCUCGCUGGGCCUGAUCUGACACUGAGGGACGAAAGCGUGGGGAUCAAACACG